UCUCAGCAUAUUCUGCUGACAAUGCUAGUCUAAAUUAUGGGAGGUACAACUCUGUCUUCCAAAAAUUGAAAGAGAAAAACAAUGACAUUGUGAAGGCGAACUGUGUGGCCCACAUUGUUCACAACAGUGCAAAACACGCAGGAGAUCGACUGAAUCUGGACAUUGAAAGUGUCGUCAACAAAAUCUUCAGCUAUUUCUCCACAUCUUCCAAGCGAGUCGAAGAACUGAAGUCCGUUUACAUCUUUGUCGAGAAGGAGUAUCAGUCUCUCCUCAGACAUGUCCUGACAAGAUGGCUGAGCUUGUGGCCAGCUGUAAAGCGACUUCAUGACAGCUGGGUAGCCCUGAAGACAUUCUUUCUUUCACUAGGGGAGGAGCAUUGCCCCAAAUCACUGUGGCUGCUGUUCAGGGAAGACCAAGAUGGUGAGGGCAACCCCCUUGAACUACAGGUUUACCUGUCCUUCCUUAGCAAUGCACUGAAGAUUUUCCACGACACUGCUGGUGUUGGAGCAAGAAGAUGGGACUGUCUGUGAGCUGUACGACAUGAUGUUCACCCUCAAAACCAAGCUACAGCAACGUCAGAGUGAUGGUUUCUUUGGGGCCCAGACAGAUGUACUCCUCCAGCAGUUUCCAGACACACAGGCAGCUGUGCUCAGAGAGGACAUGUCCAACUUCUACCAGUCCUCUCUCACCUACCUGGAGCAGCGCUAUGACUUCUCAGACUCCAACUACCAGAAGAAACUGGCUAGUCUUGCACUGCAGAAGAACCCAUUCAACUUCUCCCACCUCUGUGAAGCUGUAAAGGUCUUGCAGCUAAGCAAGAAGUUGGGCAUGGAUGCGUUAUAUGAUGAGCAUUGCGUCGUUCUGCCACGCCAAGAGGCCAUCGUGCAGUCUGAAGCUCCAGUUGUGGAGAAGUGGGCCACCUUACUCAAGCACACACACACACACACACACACACACACACCAAACUUGACAGCAGUUGCCUCUUUUAUCUUAAGCAUACCCAUUACCAAUGCGUCAGUGGAGAGAGUCUUCUCUCUGAUGUCGGGAUGCUGGACAGACACUAGAAACCGAUGCUCUGUGAACCUGAUUAAGUCCGAGAUACAAGUGAAGAGUAACUUCACAUUCUCCUGCAAGGACUUCCAUGCUAAUGUAUUGAAAGACAAGGAUCUCUUGGAUGCAGUGCGGUCCAACAAGAAAUAUGUCUUCAAGAAGAAACCUUAAGAUGCUGGUGAGUCCUAAACAUGUCCCCAAAGGCCU
Molecule: long non-coding RNA, 1257 nt
Organism: Neoarius graeffei (lesser salmon catfish)
Lineage: Eukaryota; Metazoa; Chordata; Actinopteri; Siluriformes; Ariidae
Exons: 3
Source: RefSeq, a predicted model, not a curated record